Molecule: ribosomal RNA, 492 nt
Filed under: uncultured bacterium
Lineage: Bacteria
Description: partial 16S ribosomal RNA
Rfam family: Bacterial small subunit ribosomal RNA
Source: RNAcentral
AGUGAACGCUGGCGGUAGGCCUAACACAUGCAAGUCGAACGGCAGCACAGUAAGAGCUUGCUCUUACGGGUGGCGAGUGGCGGACGGGUGAGGAAUACAUCGGAAUCUACUUUUUCGUGGGGGAUAACGCAGGGAAACUUACGCUAAUACCGCAUACGACCUACGGGGGAAAGCAGGGGAUCUUCGGACCUUGCGCGAUUGAAUUAGCCGAUGUCGGAUUAGCUAGUUGGCGGGGUAAAGGCCCACCAAGGCGACGAUCCGUAGCUGGUCUGAGAGGAUGAUCAGCCACACUGGAACUGAGACACGGUCCAGACUCCUACGGGAGGCAGCAGUGGGGAAUAUUGGACAAUGGGCGAAAGCCUGAUCCAGCCAUGCCGCGUGUGUGAAGAAGGUCUUCGGGUUGUAAAGCCCUUUUGUUGGGAAAGAAAGGCAGCAGGUUAAUACCCCGCUGUUCUGACGGUACCCAAAGAAUAAGCACCGGCUAACUUCGUG